Non-coding RNA from Xylaria castorea, 136 nucleotides. Lineage: Eukaryota; Fungi; Ascomycota; Sordariomycetes; Xylariales; Xylariaceae. The record is from the annotation of a GenBank genome assembly.
GGUCAGUUAGCUCAGUUGGUUAGAGCGUCGUACGUUGUUGCCCUUAACAUUCCUUUGCUAAAUUGACAACAAAGACUAACAUGCUAUAUAGGUACUAAUAAUGCGAAGGUCAUGAGUUCGACCCUCAUACCGACCA